CGUUUAACAGGGCUUUGAGCACCGCCGCUGCUUCGGUGAGACUUGCACCCCCCUCACCCCACCCCAUAACAAAUCGCAGCAAACAGGACCUAUUUGCAAGGAAUUCAUCACCAUGGCGCUGGGAGGGUCUGGGGGCGGAGGGGAGCGCUAAGGUCUUUUGUUAUCCUUGUCACCUCGUCCAACCCAGGCCUGAGGACAGCCCCGCGGCGGGAGGCGGAGGACAGUGGCCAGCAGCCGGAGGACAGUGGCCAGCAGCCGCUGCUUCUCUGCGGCCCAGAAAGCCUGUGUUUUUGCGCUCAGGUUGCUUUUCUCUGGCUGGAGCUUUACCUAGAGGCUUGCGGGGAGCCGGGGCGCCGCGCCUUUGUUCUGCCGGGGAGCUCCGGCCGCCUGCACUUUCUGCCUCGGACCCGCGGGGCAGUCACGCGGCCCCGGGCAGAUCGAGGCCUUUGGCCGGGCCGCCUGGUCCUGCGCUGCGCUGGGGAGCAGUGGAGAGGAAAGCGGGCCCGUCUGGGGCGGACUUUGGCUUCGGGAGCCCGGGGCCCGCGGAGGUGGGCCGGGAGCCUCCGGGAGGGCAGCGCGGGCGCAGGGCCGGGCUCGGGAGGGCAGCGACUGGGCCCCGGACGGCGGCUCCGGGAGCUCCGCUCGCAAUCAGUCAGCUCGCCGGGGAAGGGGACGGCCAGUCUGGGGGAGUCGCCCCUGCCCGGUGGCGUGGCGCAGGUUGGGGGCGGAGACUUGGGACCCGACCUAGGCCCGGUCUCUGCAGGGCCUCCCGGAGCGAGAUCUGCACCUUCCCCCGGUACCCGCUGCGUUCAUCGCCUCUGUUUGUUGAGCAGAGGAGCCGGGGUCCCCGGGCCCGAACCCGCGGAGUCUCACCGCCCCUCGCACCCCCACCUCGCCCUCGGGCCGUGGCCACCUACACCUCCGCAAUCGAUUUUUGCUGCGUGUCAAUACUUACUUCUGUUCAGUGGCAGUUGUGGAAGAGAGAAGACCCUAGAAGCUGAAGUUGCUCAGCAGAAGAGUUGCCCAAAGAACCACCUGAGGCACUGGAAGUUUCAAGCAGCACUUCCAAGACAGCAUGGAAAGGGGUGGCACUGGUUUUCCCAGCUCAGAACCCACCUCCAACCUGUCUGUCCUCCUGGACCUCGGCAGUGCAGGGCGCCUGCCGCGGCACUGCGGCAUCUUAGCUGUUUCAAAGACCAUUGCUGCUGAGAACUUCUGGGUAGGGUGCAAGAUGAACAGGGGUUUUCAGCGAUUCAUCGAGCCUCAAGCCUGCCUUGAGCAGCGUGGAUGGGGAUUCACCAAACAUCCUCACUUAGUCUGGGAAGAAUAUGCUGAUGUGAAUUUAAGACGUGGUCACAGAGUGUUUGUCACUUCAUGAGCUGUCACUAUUCUGACCUGGCUGCACACCGUGCACUGUGUCAUUCCCGUAAAGCAAUUAUAGCCCACCUUUGUCAUUACCCAAGGCUGCUACCCCACUUCCCCCCAGAAAAACAGGAUUGACCCAGAGGUUCCACCAGCUGGCUCCCAAGAGACGAUGAGCACAUCAAAGAAAAAUAAAUAAAAAGAAACAUGAGUCACACACUCAGUGUGCCCUUCAGUGACUUAGAGACAGAGAGCAACAGAAUGGGGAAAGAUACUUACUUUCAAAGGUGUGGGUGGCUGGGGAGACCAGUAUUAUAAAGCGAAUGGCAAGCCCUCAAAUUGUCUCCUUCCCCCCAAACUACCAUGUCAUCUGACACCCUCAAUCUAUUUGUGUCCUGGGUAACAGACUUGGACUAAGAGGUCACCGGCUAGAGGGCUUGGGUGACUGGAAACAAGUUUGACAUGAUAGGAAUCUGGGUGGGGAGCACCAUGGCAGAGGUGUAGAGAGGAGGAGGCCAGAGGCUGCACCAGCUUGAGAACUCCAAACCUCAGCUGGACCCCGAAUUUCC
Long non-coding RNA from Cavia porcellus (domestic guinea pig), 1931 nucleotides. The record is from Ensembl. NCBI's taxonomy places the organism in Eukaryota, Metazoa, Chordata, Mammalia, Rodentia, Caviidae.